UACGUAGGGUGCGAGCGUUAAUCGGAAUUACUGGGCGUAAAGCGUGCGCGGGCGGCGCGUUAAGACAGGUGUGAAAGCCCCGAGCUUAACUUGGGAAUUGCGCUUGUGACUGGCGUGCUGGAGUGUGGCAGAGGGAGGUGGAAUUCCACGUGUAGCAGUGAAAUGCGUAGAGAUGUGGAGGAACACCGAUGGCGAAGGCAGCCUCCUGGGCCAGCACUGACGCUCAUGCACGAAAGCGUGGGGAGCAAACAGG
RNAcentral lists this ribosomal RNA (253 nucleotides) under uncultured bacterium. RNAcentral's name for it is "partial 16S ribosomal RNA". It matches the Rfam family "Bacterial small subunit ribosomal RNA", at positions 524 to 776 of the family's 1533-position model. The record is from RNAcentral.